GUACGGGAGGCAGCAGUCGGGAAUUUUGCGCAAUGGGCGAAAGCCUGACGCAGCAACGCCGCGUGAGGGAUGAAGGCCUUCGGGUUGUAAACCUCUUUUCUCAGGGACGAUGAUGACGGUACCUGAGGAAGAAGCCACGGCUAACUACGUGCCAGCAGCCGCGGUAAUACGUAGGUGGCGAGCGUUGUCCGGAUUUACUGGGCGUAAAGAGCGCGCAGGCGGUCGUACGAGUCGCGUGUGAAAGCCCCCGGCUCAACUGGGGAGGGUCACGCGAUACUGUUCGACUCGAAGGCAGGAGAGGGAAGCGGAAUUCCCGGUGUAGUGGUGAAAUGCGUAGAUAUCGGGAGGAACACCAGUGGCGAAGGCGGCUUCCUGGCCUGUUCUUGACGCUGAGGCGCGAAAGCUAGGGUAGCAAACGGGAUUAGAAACCCUUGUAGUCCG
Molecule: ribosomal RNA, 441 nt
Filed under: uncultured bacterium
Lineage: Bacteria
Description: bacterial SSU rRNA
Rfam family: Bacterial small subunit ribosomal RNA
Source: RNAcentral